GCCCGCGCGGCCCCCGGGAAGGGCCCGUCUCGGCCCUCCGUGCCAGCUCGGGGGCGGCUGGCGGGGAGCGCGCUGGCGGGGCAAGGGAGGGAGCGGUGUCGCUGUCCCGCCCGAGCAGUCGAGGCGGAGGUGUCUGAGGGGGGCGGGCGGCGGGCCCCGGGCGGGCGGGCACUCUGCUGAGGUAACCCAGCGCAGGAGGAGUCCGGGGUCCCUGAUCACCCCCCGCCCAGAUCCCAAAAUACAGUUUGGAGGUGGUCAUUGCCCUUACGCAAAAAAAGUUGCAUCGUCGUUGGUGUUUCUUGUGCCCAGUGGCGGGGCGACAAUGAUCAUGGACUCUGGGCUACCUUUUGUAAAAAUAGCAUUCGAGGGCGGGCUGAUGGUACAGCUGGAAACACUAGUUGUAGUCGUUAGAAAAUGUGAAAGCACGCACAAACCUACAGCACAAAGAGAAAUGUGUAAGAAUUGGAUGCUAUUUGCAUCACGUGUUCUUGAGCGAAAGGAAAGCUGCUUAAGUACUUUUGGUUGCUGCAUAAGAGAUGAAAAUAUGUUUCUAAAUUGUUUAACUACUCAGUAUAAAUAGUUACUACAGAGGCUUAUUGCUUAAUUCCCAUGACACUGCUUAAGCAAACGACCUAUGUGUGCUUCUCCUUUCUCACUGUUAGUUAAAAUUUAAUAUUGAUACUGUGUAUUUGGGGAUCCUAAAAUCUCUUGCGUUCCUUCGAAGUUGUCUUGCAGUGCUAUAGCUGAAAAUCAUUCUAGUUACAAAACUGACACAAAUGAUACCAGUGGCAGUGAUGGCUUGUCGGGCUUUGCUUCUUUCAGUGCUAUAGAUCUAAGACUGCUGCUGCAGUAUUACAAAGGUACUUUUUUAUAUGUAAUCUUCCAGAGCCAUUUGCAGCUGUGCUAAGGAGUAACACUGGCAACUUGGGACAAAAAACAGACCUCUGUUUUCUCAAAGACUUGCUAAUCUAACUAGUUCAGUGUAGUGUUUAUUUUUACAAAGCCCUGGGUUUUGUGUCCUGUCACUUUCUUGUUGGUUGCCCUAACUCUGAUGUUCCUCUCAGCUGAUUGUGUGGCGUGACAAGCCUUGCACUUUUGUAUGUGGAAAACUUCAACUGUGUCAUGAUAUUUUAUUUUUUCUUAGUCGCUUAAAUGCUUGGAUAAAACAUCCCAUGUUUAAAUAUAGGUAAAUUAAGCUUUACUUUGCUGUUAUAAGUAAGGGCCACAUAUCACCAAAGUAGAAUAUAAGCUGUUCAUAAAAUUGUAGUUCUCAAAUAUUCAAAGCCACUUCAAAUUGUAUGUGGCCCAGCCUGAAGAAGGGAACCCCCUGCUACCUGUUGUGAUAUCUGCAUAAAAAGAAAGUAUUUUAAAAUCCUGGCAUAGAUAAGUGACUGAAUAAACAGUUUAACACUGAAAAGGAAAGACUGAUCCAAUAGCAUAUGCAGGGAAAAUUAGAUGAUUAAAACUUAAUGUGCAGAACUGCAUUUAAAAAAUGUGCCUAUUAUUAGCAUGUCUAAAAUAAUAACUACAGUGUCCUACAAACAUAAUCACUAAUGCCCAUAAAGUAUCUGUUUAAAAACAAACCCACCUCUACCCCUACAUUUCCCAAAGUCAAACAAACCAUAGAAAUAUAAUAGUAACUUUUUUUUUUUUUUUUUUUUUUUUUCUUAGAAAGCUUCCUUGGUAAUGCAGUCAAAGGCAUGUGAAACUGUUUCUGGAGUUGUACUGUUCUGUUUUGUCACCAAGUGCCAAAACUUUAAAUGGAGGUCGUUUAACAAUCCAGUUGUAGGACUGAGUCUGAAAUUGAUUUAUUUUUUUGAAAUAGUGCAACAGGUAUUUCUUAAUCAUGAAUAAGGUACAUUUUUGUUGUAAAACUUAAGUAUUUCAGUCUAUCAAGGUGAAGAUAUUGACAUUUUUUUUUUUUCCCUCCCAAAGUAUUGCAGUUAUAGAUGCCUGGAAUGCCAGUGACAGUGGGACAACCGAUGCCUGCAGCUGUACCAAAUAUGCCUCAUGGUGCCAGUUCUGAAUGUUCUGCAUGUGCUGGUACUUAGUCUGCUGCUGCUGACCCCAUGUUGACUUACUUCAGUGCUAUUCCUGAAAUACCUUAGUAUAAUGUUCCCAGUGAUAAUCAUUCUUCUUCAGGUAAAAUGUACAGUUUUCAACAGUAAUUGUAAUUAUAGUUGACAGUAGAGUUUACAGUACUAUAGACUUGAUACACAUGUUGCCGUUUAAUAAGAUAAAAUUAACCAAAAUACAUUGGUAGUUGACAUUCAGAUUCUCACUGCCAUGUUGAAAUAGUGUUUCUUUAGGUUUUCUGUACCUUAUUAUACAUGUUAGUGCUAAAAUUCUGUACGCAGAUAACAGAACCUUAAAAGCCAGUUGUGAAACUUUUGAGAAUAGGAUUUCAGUUAAUUUUGUUCUGUAUUGCAUAUGGAACUUGGCUAGGAAAGUAUAGAGCAGACAUAUAACUUUCCCGGCUAACAUCACCAGGCACUGGAAUCUCCAGAAUAGUUGAUGCUUGUUUUUCAAGGUAUUUCUUCUGGCAUGAGGUCCUAAAUUUGACAUUUAUGCUAUUUAAGAUCAUACAAUUUUUAAAGUGGAGGGCGGGCUUAUAAAUGUUGUGAGAAUAAACAUAUUUUUUGUAGAUAUAUAUGGAAUGUGUUUGCUUUGAAAAGUUACGUGGUGUUUGUUGAAAAGGCAGUAUUAAAUACUGUAAGUAUUUUUAUAUAUUGUUAAUAGUGAUAGGUGGUGUUCUGUUCCAAGAGUCUGCAUUCACAUUCAUAUGACUGACAGAUGGUAAUAUGACCAGUGCAAUGUCACGUGUUAAAAGGAGUAAUAGUCAGGGAAUUCAGUAGUUCUGUAUGGGGAAAAAGACCAAGGAAAGGUGACAAAGAUUCAUAGAGGUCAUGUGUAUAGCCCCACAGAUUACGAGAUGGUUCUGGCUUCUGUGGUGGCGACAUGCACCUUCUCAAGAACAUAGAUUUGCAGAAGCAAUGUAUUGGAAGAUCUCCAGUUACAAAAUGGCUUCAUUCAUGUUAAGUUAACCACCAGCAGUAUGACCAUUAGAUAUCAGAAGUUCCAUUAAACUUUCACAGUUUCUCGAAAGGAAAAUUAAGAUAAAGAUCUUGCAGCGCACUAUGGCAUUUUGAGCGCUGAAUUGCUGGAGGAAAAGAGGAUCACCGACAUAGGAAAAUUUGUGUUUGGAGGAACUGCCGAGAAUGGAAACUAUUGUAGAGUUUUAAACAUUCCUGUUUGAUAAGACGAUGCACUUUGAAUUAAUACUUCACUUUUUAAGUGCUCAAUUCACAGCAAUAAAUAUUUUUUUGCCUUUUACUAUAUUUAAAGCAUGACUUAUUUUAUCUGCACAUGUGUAAUUCCAGACAAGUAAAUUUCUGUGUUAAGCCUAAGAGCUUAAUGAAAAGGAAAAGCUUAUGGUCAUACAUAACAGGCCAUGUCUUAUAAAUGAUUAGUUUGCUUACACAAAUAAAACAAGAUACCCUAAAUGA
Molecule: long non-coding RNA, 3506 nt
Organism: Tyto alba (common barn owl)
Lineage: Eukaryota; Metazoa; Chordata; Aves; Strigiformes; Tytonidae
Exons: 4
Source: RefSeq, a predicted model, not a curated record